AGUUAGGUGGUACAAUGGUUAGAGCACCAGCCCUGAAAUCAGGAGGACCUGAGUUCAAAUUUGGCCUAACUU
Molecule: transfer RNA, 72 nt
Filed under: Sarcophilus harrisii (Tasmanian devil)
Lineage: Eukaryota; Metazoa; Chordata; Mammalia; Dasyuromorphia; Dasyuridae
Rfam family: tRNA
About the family: Transfer RNA (tRNA) molecules are approximately 80 nucleotides in length. Their secondary structure includes four short double-helical elements and three loops (D, anti-codon, and T loops).
Source: Rfam by way of RNAcentral